UACGUAUGUCUCAAGCGUUACCCGGAAUUACUGGGUGUAAAGAGUUCGUAGGUGGAUUAUUAAGUCAGGUAUGAAAGACCGGAGCUUAACUUCGAGUUUGUGCUUGAAACUGGUAAUCUAGAAUUGGGGAGAGGUAAGUAGAAUUUUAAGUGUAGGGGUGCAAUCCGUAGAUACUUAGAAGAAUACCGAAAGCGAAGGCAACUUACUGGAACCAUAUUGACGCUAAAGAACGAAAGCGUGGGGAGCGAAA
RNAcentral lists this ribosomal RNA (250 nucleotides) under uncultured prokaryote. RNAcentral's name for it is "partial 16S ribosomal RNA". It matches the Rfam family "Bacterial small subunit ribosomal RNA", at positions 524 to 773 of the family's 1533-position model. The record is from RNAcentral.